Molecule: ribosomal RNA, 465 nt
Filed under: uncultured bacterium
Lineage: Bacteria
Description: bacterial SSU rRNA
Rfam family: Bacterial small subunit ribosomal RNA
Source: RNAcentral
CCCUUAGAGUUUGAUCCUGGCUCAGGAUGAACGCUGGCGGCGUGCUUAACACAUGCAAGUCGAACGGGAAAUAUUUUAUUGAAGCUUCGGUGGAUUUAAUUUAUUUCUAGUGGCGGACGGGUGAGUAACGCGUGGGUAACCUGCCUUAUACUGGGGGAUAACAGCCAGAAAUGACUGCUAAUACCGCAUAAGCGCACAGAACCGCAUGGUUCGGUGUGAAAAACUCCGGUGGUAUAAGAUGGACCCGCGUUGGAUUAGCUAGUUGGCAGGGCAGCGGCCUACCAAGGCGACGAUCCAUAGCCGGCCUGAGAGGGUGAACGGCCACAUUGGGACUGAGACACGGCCCAGACUCCUACGGGAGGCAGCAGUGGGGAAUAUUGCACAAUGGGGGAAACCCUGAUGCAGCGACGCCGCGUGAAGGAAGAAGUAUCUCGGUAUGUAAACUUCUAUCAGCAGGGAAGAUAA